Molecule: long non-coding RNA, 136 nt
Organism: Otolemur garnettii (small-eared galago)
Lineage: Eukaryota; Metazoa; Chordata; Mammalia; Primates; Galagidae
Exons: 3
Source: RefSeq, a predicted model, not a curated record
UAGGUGUUUUUUAAAAACUUUAUGAUGUACCAGGCAUUCAGUGGUCACUUGGGCCACCUGGAGGAGAAAUGAAUCAUUGGGUGAACAAACAAAGUUUAACUACAGGUUCAAGUGCCCUGUGAGAUUAAAAAACGCC